Molecule: ribosomal RNA, 4608 nt
Filed under: Triticum aestivum (bread wheat)
Lineage: Eukaryota; Viridiplantae; Streptophyta; Magnoliopsida; Poales; Poaceae
Description: partial small subunit ribosomal RNA
Source: RNAcentral
AUGUCACAGUUUCACCACACACAGCAUGGGGGUGAUGGUGAUUUUCAGAUGUGGCAACAACAGAUGAUGUACAAGCAAUUGCAGGAGUUCCAGAGGCAGCAAAAUGCCCAGCAGAUUGAUCAUGGAGCCAGAAUGCAGCCCUCUUUUGGACAGUUUCAAGCUCCAGCAAGAGCAGCGCCUGCUGAUCAAUUACCGGUGAUAACAAAUGAAAUGCCAAGCAAUGAGGCCACGGCUUAUACGUGGCCACAAAAUUUUGCUAGUGGUGACCCAAGGUUGCCAAGCAACUCACAAAUGGUGAAUACAGGUAGUAACACAAACUGGGAGCAGUAUGGUGGUGCUCCUGCCAUGGGCAAUUUCAUGAAUGGUUCGGUAUUUCCAAAUACUCAAAGUCAACCGAUGCGACCAAUGGGGUUAGCUACACAGCAAAUGAACCAGUCCUUCUAUCAAAUACCUGCUACCAGCAGAGGCGGGUCUGUUAACCAGUACCCCCAGUUCUUAGGGAUCCCAGCUGAUCUCCAGAAUGCAAUGACAAGGGCAAGCAGUCAUCAGCCUGAAAAGGUAUCAAGGCCAUUUAGCUCGUUAAUGGAUGAGCCUAGUCCGCAGGAGAAAGGUGCCUCCAGUUCUAUGCAGAAUUUUCGAGGAAAGGGAGGCUUCUUAAGCAAUAGUCCGUUACAAAGUCAAGGUGAUAAUAACAAGGCAGGCAGCCCUGUUCCAGUGAAUCAUCUACGACAUGGUUUUCAACUCCAAGAUUUUCAUGGUAGGUCAAACCAACUACAAGCAGGCCUGCAAGAGAAAUCAACAAUGCAGGUAGCACCAGCAAGUGGUGGCGCUAGCCUUGACCCUACCGAGGAGAAGUUCUUGUUUGGGGAUGAUGAGGAUAGCAACUGGGGAGCUUUGUUGAAGGGUGACAACGAUCAUGGUAAUUCUUUGGAUAAUGAUAACUUUGGUGGUGCUUUGCCAUCUCUACAGAGUGGGAGCUGGAGUGCCCUUAUGCAGGAAACGCUACAGUCUUCAACCAGUAAAGAUAAUCCCAAGGAAGAAUGGAGUGGCCUCAGUUUGCAGAAAACACAGACAGUCGCUAAUAACUCGACUUUACCAGCUCGUGACCAGAGUAAGCUUGCUGCAUCAAGCGGUGGACUACAGAAUGCACGACCCUCGUCAGCAUCUAGCUAUGGUGAUGGAACAAUGAAUAAUCCAGAUUUUACCAGUUUUCAGCAUGCUACAAGAAGUCCGUACGAGCAAAGAGAUAAAACACCACAUGAAUCUCCUCGUGCUACUGUUACCAAUCAUCAGUCAACUGCAGAAGCCAAUAAUGGGUAUAUUCAGCAGAGCUUGAAGCAAAAGCAGUCUGAUGAAUAUGGGAGACAAGAACAGGUGCAUUUGUCAAAUGGCAAUUGGGCUCAGCACAAAUCUGAAACGCCAAGAAAUAGCUCACACUCAACUGGUGCACCAUCAAGUACACAUGGAUUUUGGAUGUCACAACAAAACACUGUCGAUCACAAUAUCAACCAAGAGUCGGGCAAUAGCCAGAAUGACUGGAAGAGCAACAGCCCCCUUGGACAAGACAUCAGCAGUACCCAAAAUGUCUUUAAUAGUGAUGGAAACUUUUGGAAGUCAAGUGGAGGUAAUGCAAAUUCAGUCCACAGGCUUCAGCAGAUGAAGCCUGAUAUAAGCACUUCGCAAAUGCAGAAGGACAGUUCUGAUGGUAAAGGUGUUAGUAUGAUGGGCUCAAGCAUGCCAACAAUAAACCCGAACCAGCAUCAGAUGGUUAUGGGUCGAACCGGUGAGCAUGGUGGGAUGAACCAUAACAUUGGACGUAGGGGUUCAGAAACCUCAGAAUCUUUAAGAAGAAGUGCUGAGCCAAGACCAAAUGACUGCAACCAGGAGUACCAAAAUGCAAUACAUAUGGAAAGGCCAGGAAACAUUUUAAAUCAUGGGCAGCAUGUGAACAGUGACCAUGCUGCCAGGAGGCAUCCUUUCUUUGCUGCAAAAGAAUCCCAAAAUUCGGGAUCAGGUCAGCAAGCAGGGGGAUCUUACAUGUUGCAGAAUCAUGCCAUGGACAACACAGGGGUAAACAUUAGGCAUUCUCCGGGUAAUCCAGUUUCGAACAAUCAGUUUCCGCCUCAGUCACUUCAGGGACAAAAUAACCUGAAGCCACGAUUUGUCACCAACUCCCAAAUUGCUGCCAAUAUGGCUUCAGUUAAUGAGAAAAUGCUGGUGGGGGAUGAACACUUUAAAUCUCGACAUGGUGUCACUAACAGUUCCAGUGCAUCACCCUUUGGAGUAUCUGAUGCCGGUCUGUCUCAGAAUAGAGCAGUUCAGAACAGUCAACACAUGCUGCAACUUCUUCAUAAGGUGGACAACUCAACAGAUAGCAAUGCACUUACUGACAUGGCCAACAGUCCUCUCGAUAAUGUUGCUAAUACUCAGCAGCAACUUAAUCAAUCUUCUUUGCAAGGAUUUGGAUUAAGACUAGCACCACCGUCCCAGCGACAUCCAACUUCAGAUCAUUUAUGGUCUAGUCACACUAAUGCUGAUGGCAAGCAACCUGAACACUCAGCAAGGGGAGAACACCAGGCCCAGCUACCUUCCACUGCCACCAAUUAUUCGUCACCUGCUCAUCGAAGCUCACAGCCAACACCAUUUAAUUCUUCGGAAAUGGGUGGUACUGGACAGCCAGCUGCACAUUUCCCCCAGUUAGGUUCCGGGCAGCAAUAUCCUGUGCCAGACACAAGAUCAGGUUCUGUACCCAUGCCUCAGCAAGACAGCACAGCUACAGUAUUCAAGAACGUAUGGACAAACAUAUCGGCGCAACGUCUAGCUGGUACCCAAUCUAACAAGAUUACACCCAAUAUUCUCCAGUCUAUGAUGUUCUCCAGCAACCCCAACUUAUGGGGUUCGCAAAAGGCAGACGACCAAGGACAGAAGGUUUCAACACCACCUGAUGUAGCCACAAGUUCUGCCAAUUCACAUAAUCAAGAGACAAAACAAGCUCUGGACAGUGAUGCAGGGUUAGCCUCUUCUGAGAUGGCAAAUUUUGAUUCGACUGGAGCUGCUGUACCCAGAGGGAAUCAAGCCCUGCAGAAGCAUUCUUCAGACGGGAACUUUGCCAUUCCUGCUUCAUCCUUGGCACAAUUGCGUCAGCAAGGUAUCAUGAACCCUAGGCAGGGAGAGAACCCUGCAGCUAACUUUCAGGUUAUGAAUACUUCUCACAACACUGGUACUAAUACGAGUGGCAUUGGGUUACAUGGAAACCCAACAGCUUCAAACCUCCAACAGACAAAUUUUGCUCUUCUGCAUCAAAUGCAAGCAAUGGGUCAUGUGGAUGUUGAUCCAGGCAAUAAAACUGGAAAGAUGCUUAAACCAAAUGAGAUUAGUUCUGACGCGUCGCAAGUUGACUGGAAGUCUGCUCAGAGGUUUGCACAUGGAGCCAAUAACUCACUCAGGUCGUCUAUAGAUAACAUUGGCAGUACUAGUGUCCAAGGGUCAUUCCCUUCAGACAUGAAAAUGCUAAGCUUUGCUCCAAGGAACAAUGAGGAGAGAAGUACAAGCAUACCUUCUCAGAUCCCUUCUAGGGAAGUUCUCUCUCAUGGUAUGGUCAUGCGUAAUGAUCAUCAAAGUCAAGUUCAGUCUCUUGGAACAAAUGUAUCAUCCAAUUUGAUUGAAAGAAGUGAGAGACCUGGGAUAAACCCUCAAAUGGCACCCUCUUGGUUUGAACAUUAUGGAAACCAAAGAAAUGGUCAGAGUCCUUCUGUGUUUAAUGCUCAGAAGACCCCAACUCCACCAUAUAAUGUUCCAAAAGCUUCUUGGUGCAUGGAAAAUAACUCUCUCGAGGAUAGAGCUGAUGCCGGCCAAGCUGCCAGGCCUUUGGUGCCUAAUAUGAAGACAGCUUUGAUGACAAGGCCAAAGAAGCGCAAAUUUACAGAACGUGCUCUUGUUUCUUGGCAUAAAAUCAGUGAAGGCACUCAAAAGUUGAGAAAGACAAGCACGAAUGAGAUGGAUUGGGCUUGGGCAGCUAAUAGAUUAAUUAAGAAGUCUGAGGAUGAUCCGGAAAGUCUGGAAGAUGCCCCGGUAAAUUAUUUACCACGGAAAAGGCUAAUUAUGACCACAAAGUUGAUUCAGGAAGUUUUCCCUGCUAUACCAGCAAGAGUUCUCAGAGCACAAGCUGUAUCAGCUUAUGAAAGUGCUACAUACAAUAUCGCAAUGUUCACUCUAGGAGAUACAUGCAUAAUCUCAUCAGAUAACUCUCGCGCUCUUGCAGAUAAUGAAAAUAACCCAUCCGAACAAAGAACAAGUGCCAAGCAAAUGGAAGACAAGUUAUCAAAGGUUGUGGAAGUCUUUGUUGGAAGAAUCAGGAAAAUGGAAAACGACUAUAUGAGCUUGAGCAAGAGGGCUUCGAUGCUAGAUGUGCAUCUGGAGUGCCAGGAUUUGGAAAGGAUUUCAAUCGUAAAUCGUCUGGGAAGAUUCCAUGGCCGAAACCAUGCAGCUGGUGUCGAGGCCUCAUCUGGCUCACAAAUGGUUUCUCGCAGAAUUUUCCCUGAUAGACAUGUAAUGUCUUUCUCUGUGCCAGGAAAUCUUCCCGAAGAGGUGCACUGUUUGGCACUCUAG